RNA transcript from Clarias gariepinus (North African catfish), 3482 nucleotides. It is a transcript of the gene named zinc finger protein 800b, with no coding region annotated. NCBI's taxonomy places the organism in Eukaryota, Metazoa, Chordata, Actinopteri, Siluriformes, Clariidae. The transcript has 6 exons. The record is from RefSeq and is a predicted model, not a curated record.
UGUUUCGCACCGAGUUGGGAAGUGUGCGCGUGCGUACGCGCGCACCGUGAAAAAAAAGCCCGUGCACUCUGUCCCUGAUCUGUUGCGUGUGUAAGGAAACGUUUGUGCGAGGUUUAUUUUGUUUCAAACAAACCGGAGGGGAAGGAGGAGUUCAGCUCACUCGGUGUGAGAGCAGGCUGCCACGGAUCUUCAGCUCUGGGAGGAGAGCGGACUGAGUGUGUGUGUGUGUGUGCGCACGCGUGUGUGUGCGCGAGAAACACAACCAGCCUCUGUGCGCCGUGCUCAAACAAACCCGGGUUUGGAAGAUCAGCAGCGGGACCAUGGAGGAUCUUACAGCUGAGACCCCGAGUAAUGAAAAGUCAUGUCAGACAGGCGAGGUGGAUGAGAAGGCCCCGGUACUCAGACCAGCAUACUUUGUAGAGCCAGGAGACCCUCCACUGUUGCAGAAACCACUCCAGACAUCCAAGUCUGGCAUUCAGCAGAUUAUCGAAUGUUUACGCACAGGUACUCCACAGCUGAAACACAUGUUACUCAAAGAAGUGGACUUAAUAUUCGAGUGUAAGCUGUGUCAGAGCCUUUUCCGUGGCCUUCCGAACCUAAUCACGCACAAGGAGUUCUACUGCUUUCCCAGGCUGACACAAACAGAAGAGCUGUCAGGAACCUGCAGGCAGAGCAUCGCCAUUAAAGAGCUCCUGGAGGUGAUUCAUCCCCGGCCUACAGCGGACGAGGCGGUGGUGCGACUGGAGCCCAUACCUGGCAACCUAAACGCUGUGUUUCAACAUCUGACUAAACCAGGUGACCUGGAUGUUCAGAGCUCCAACAGUGGAAUUGAAGACUGGGGACAUAACCAACCAGAGAGCCAAGAGCAAGACAUGGCGGAAAAUGAUAUAAGUGGAGAAAGAGAGGACGAGGAAGCAAAUGAAGGCGACGACGAGGCAAACACGAAGAAGGAUCCUCAAGGAGAUGAAGAACAGGAGGAUGCAGGUGAGGAAAAGGUGCUUGGUGUUGGCACGGUCGAGGUGACCAUCUCGUGCAGCCUGUGCGGCAAAGACUUCAGCUCACGGCGCAGCGUACGUCGGCACUGCCGCGAAGUGCACAAGCAGCGGCUCGAGGAGCUGCGCAAGUUUACGGAGACACGCACAGUGCCCAUCAGUCUGCUGUCUGUGGUAAAGCAGCGCCCGGUGCACAACACACCUGCUCCAAAUGCCAAACGCUGCCAAGUAUGUUUUAAAACCUUUGCCACCAAAGCCAACGUCCGGCGCCACUUUGACGAGGUGCACCGUGGCCUCCAGCAUGAUGUGAACACACUUGAACACAUCUCCAACAAAUCAGGUGAUCUGGAAGUUAUGUCAGCUGUGCCCAGUCUCGCUCGCUCUCCUACCCCAAAUACAGCGUCCCCUGUACCCCAGUACGACGUGGACUCCCGCAAGUGCCUCCUGUGCAAGAGAAGCUACAGCACGCAAAAGCGGCUCAGGAAACACAUGCAUCUUGUUCAUAAGAUUCUCACUGGCCAAAGUGCUGUCUCCAGCUCUUCAGCUGACAAAAAAACUCAAUCUGGAAAGGUUGCAGGCACCAAAGACGUGCAAGGGCUCCUCAAGAGGCCGCGGGAGGAUGACAGAAAUGAGAACUCCCCAGUGGUGCGUAAGCCCAAGCUCUCUGUGGGCUUUGACUUUAAGCAGCUCUUCUGCAAGCUGUGCAAGCGGCAGUUCAGCUCUCGGCAGAAUCUCGCCAAGCACAUCGAGCUGCACACCGAUAACGGCGGCGACAUUUUCAUCAAGUUCUACCGCUGUCCAAUGUGCCGGUACGAGUCGCGCCGCAAGCGGGACGUGCUGCGUCACAUCUCUGUCGUGCACAAGAAAAACCCUGUCUACCUGGCCAAGAUCCUGCCGGUCCUGGAGAGCCGUGCUGUGAAGAAGUCUGCCGAAUCCGUGCUCAGCAGUUCAGUACAGAGCGGCGACUGGAAAGACUCGGAUGGCCACCGCAGGGCGGACAACGCAACAUCACCCAGCCCGCAGGAAGCCAGCCCAAAACAGGACGUCCGAACCCCGUCGCCGCCGGUCACACGCCGACAAAGUCUUUCCCUACAAGCUUCGUCUGUCACGAGCAGUCAGAACUCAAACGGAACGGCCGGUGGUGAGGAGACGCAGGACAGCACCGAAGUGCGCGUCACCAAGAACUUCUCACUACACGCGUGCGACGUGUGCGGACGUGCCUUUGCCAAGAAGCUCUACCUGGAGUCGCAUAAGAGGAGCCACCGCAAUGCAGCCAAGUGUGAUGGCAGGACUGUCGGCGUGAGCACACGCUCCAAAUCCCUUCUUUGGUGAGUGGUGAGGUUCUGCUGAGCAGAGCGAGGUUGAGAUUAUUCUAUUAUACUACGUUGCACCCUCUCACGUGCUAAUCGAGCAAGCUAUGAAGACCCGAAUGGGAGUUUUCUUUACACUGGACCAACUUGAAGCUCUGACAGGAACCUAACAGAUGCUUUUGGAAAAACACUGGAUUUCUGUCAGCGAGGCAGGAAUAAAGAGCUGCUAAUAUAUAUAUAUAUAUAUAUAUAUAUAUAUAUAUAUAUAUAUAUAUAUAUAAAUAAAAAAAUGAAGACCCAGAAGCAUGGACUCAAUGCCCCAGCUGUAACACAGUUAGAUAUACAGUAGAGAUGUGUUUGUAGCGCUGGUGUUUUGUUGGGUUUGUGUUGGGGUGAUUAAAUAAAGUUAAUUCGUUCCUUUUCGUUCUGCUUAGGCUGUCUAGACCUCUCAGUGGAUGUUCUAGUUGGACAUCACUUUUCACUAUUCCCAGAGACAAAAACAACAGUCUGUCCCUUCUGUGAUUUGAUCUGCCUGCAGAUUGGUCACUGCAGUGUCUCCGUCUCAGGCAAGAAGAGGACAAAUGUUCCAGGAUCCACAUUUAGCGGAUUAGAGCCAGGCCAAGCUCCUGAGUUAUAAAGGCUGUAGUGAUGAUGAUGAUGAUGAUGAUGAGGCAUGUGUCACUCAAUGCAAAUAUACACAUUUUGUUUCAUUACUGAAGGUAAAAGAUCCACAACUGCUAAUGUUUUGUAUAUUUCUGUUUUUGGUCGUUAUUUACGUUCGAACAGAAUCCUUGCUUUUCUUUCUGAAGGUCAACUCGACAGAUGUUCCUCAUGUUAAUCUAUAAGGAGCGUGUGUGAAAAGGAUUACAGAGUUUGCCCAACACAUAACUAUUAAAGCACUAAGUACUGAAUAAUGCCCUGUUGGACGUUACAGAUUGUACAGAAUUGCUGGAGUUGCUUAUUAUUUUCCAUGUAUUAUUUCCCCAGAAUUGUGCAAGAUGUCUGCUAACCGUAGCGAUAUAAGUUUCGUUGUACCUCAUUUUGUGUUUGAUGUACUUACAGUAUAUAUUAUUGAUGAUGACGGUGUUAUAGAUCUGUAUUAUACUUUUUCUAACAGGGGCUAAUGAAUGGAUCUGAUUACAAACAUAUGAUUUUCACCAGUAAAACAAAUGAAAUAUCA